GUGGGGAAUAUUGGACAAUGGGCGAAAGCCUGAUCCAGCCAUGCCGCGUGUGUGAAGAAGGUCUUCGGAUUGUAAAGCACUUUAAGUUGGGAGGAAGGGCAGUAAGUUAAUACCUUGCUGUUUUGACGUUACCGACAGAAUAAGCACCGGCUAACUUCGUGCCAGCAGCCGCGGUAAUACGAAGGGUGCAAGCGUUAAUCGGAAUUACUGGGCGUAAAGCGCGCGGAGGUGGUUUUGUAAGUUGGAGGUGAAAUCCCCGGGCUCAACCUGGGAACUGCCUCCAAAACUGCAUGACUAGAGUACGGUAGAGGGUAGUGGAAUUUCCUGUGUAGCGGUGAAAUGCGUAGAUAUAGGAAGGAACACCAGUGGCGAAGGCGACUACCUGGACUGAUACUGACACUGAGGUGCGAAAGCGUGGGGAGCAAACAGGAUUAGAUACCCUAGUAGUCC
Molecule: ribosomal RNA, 450 nt
Filed under: uncultured bacterium
Lineage: Bacteria
Description: bacterial SSU rRNA
Rfam family: Bacterial small subunit ribosomal RNA
Source: RNAcentral